UUUAUCCAGCGAUUGUCAUUGUUCAUGAUAAUACUUAAUUGAGACUCAAGAUUCAAGAAUACCAAAAAAGACAAUUUUUUUCUUUAUUUACCAUGUACGGCAUACAAUUGCAUUUAAAGUGUGAUACAUUAGAGAGGAAUGGUAUUGAAAAGGUACCUUUAAUCAAGCUAACAAAAUCCUUGCAAGUCUUCUCCUUCACAAGUGUCACACGCUUUCAAGUUUUCUUCUCUCUACGCCAUAUAAAUCAUUUAUAAGUUCACAAGUGUACGUCUCAUAAAAAAACACCAUGGAAAGUAUAUGUAUGCAACAAACAGAAAACAUAUUGGGACUGGUACAAAGCCAUGGGUUUAUAACUGAGAAGAACUGUACAAACUAGCAAGCUGCUGCGCGUGCCCUGCUGCUUGGUUUUGGUUUUUUCUCUUUGUUUUUCUACGGUGUGAUCAGUUUUGCUUGUUGCUAACUGUUUGGGACUCUCUAACCUAACGAUGCUUAGGCAUGCUGACCAGGGUGUAUUCUUUCUCUUAUUCUUGAGAAGAUGAGUGGACCAUGAUAAAACACCAUAUAAUCCUGCCGAAUUGGCUCUGUGCGCUCCCCAUCCAUUGGUACCUACCUAUAUUAUUAUAAGGAGAAAAGUGGGACUGCGAGGGAGUGUAUUACUGUUAGUGCAAAAAGGAAAUUUACUAACUGAUUAUUUUUUAAGGAAAAAACGACGCUGUAUAAAAACGAGUAGCAAUGUACAGUUAGUGCAAUGUAAUGUUGUACUAUUCUAGUUGACAUUUUGCAAUGUAUUAUUGCUAUACCACAACAAUGUCUUGCGCAAGAAAUCAAUAACAAGGACUACUACAAGUAAAUUCCUAAAUACAAAUAAACCCAAGAAGCAGAAGUCAAAAAACAUUGUUUACAGAAAAUCAAAUUAUCUGAACUAUAACAAUUAAAUUAAAAAAAAUUCAGGAAUUAGUGAAGCUGAAGAAAAUCAGAUUAUGGGUGGAUUUUUGGGGCUUUCAAUCAAUUAUCAAGAAAAUCUCAAUUUUGUAACUUUAAACUUAUAAAGCCAUGAUUUUGAUACCAAACCCCACAUAUACAAGCAAGUAAAAGAAAAAAAAAAAUCAAAAUCACUCAUUAUAGUUACCAAUAGUUACCACAAAGAAUAUGAAAAACUUUUCUGAGCAACGACAGUUUUUUAUUUAUAGAAAGAGAACUCGAACUGAGAAAUCGUCUGAUUAUAGUGCUAUUGAGAUGAUUAAAAAGAAAGAAACAAUUGAAUUAAUCUUACCAGUAAUCUUACAAUUGAAAGAAUUGAAUUAUAGUUACCACAAUUGAAUUAAUCUUACAAUUGAAAGAAACAAUUGGAUUAUACUGCUAUUGAGAUCUUACCAGUAAUCUUCUGGUGGUGGUGGCGGUGGCGGUGGCGGUGGAGUUUGAGAAGAGAAAAGAGAAAAGAAGAAUUGAUAUAAUCAGCGAAUUGAAGAGGAUGUAGUUAUGGAGUUUGAGAAGGAGAAAGGGGAGUUUCAUAGAGCUUUGCUCGAGUUAGGAGAUAACUUCCUUCGGCAUCACACCAACUGAUUUUCGUUUGCAACCCUUCUUCUAAUCACGCAAUAAAAA
This 1602-nucleotide long non-coding RNA is filed under the name Aquilegia coerulea. Its description in RNAcentral is "long non-coding RNA (ACOE_LNC002305)". Lineage: Eukaryota; Viridiplantae; Streptophyta; Magnoliopsida; Ranunculales; Ranunculaceae. The record is from RNAcentral.